This 289-nucleotide long non-coding RNA is filed under the name Homo sapiens (human). Its description in RNAcentral is "HSALNT0369532". The record is from RNAcentral. Lineage: Eukaryota; Metazoa; Chordata; Mammalia; Primates; Hominidae.
UCAAGUGUAUUAUUAGAUUGUUAAUUUGUAAUCUUUCUACUUUUUUAAUGCAGAUAUUGAAGCUAUAAAGUUCUCUCUUAGCACUGCUUUGCUGUAUCUCACAGAUUUUGGUAGGCUGCAUUUCCAUGCUGAGGGAAUUCAUCACCACUAGACGGGACCUACAAGCAACACUCAAAGAGAAACUGCCUCAAAAAUGGCAAUAUCUUCUUUGUGCUUAAUGACCCUAACUUCAUGAAGACUUGGCAUAUAGGUUUCAUCCAUGUUGCAGCAUGUGUUAGAAUUUCACUUA